AGCAGCCGCGGUAAUUCCAGCUCCAAUAGCGUAUAUUAAAGUUGUUGCAGUUAAAAAGCUCGUAGUUGAACUUCGGGGUUUACUCAUUGGUCAGGCUUAAUUGUCUGUACUGGUGAGAUGAAUCUCUACCUUCUGAGGAACUUUCAUGCCAUUAAUUUGGUGUGUUGGGAAAUCAGGACUGUUACUUUGAAAAAUUAGAGUGUUUAAAGCAGGCUAACGUCUGAAUACAUUAGCAUGGAAUAAUGAAAUAGGACGGAUUGAUUCUAUUUCGUUGGUUUCUAGGGUCACCGUAAUGAUUAAUAGGGAUAGUUGGGGGCAUUAGUAUUCAAUUGUCAGAGGUGAAAUUCUUGGAUUUAUUGAAGACUAACUACUGCGAAAGCAUUUGCCAAGGAUGUUUUCAUUAAUACAAGACGAAAGUUAGGGGAUCGAAGACGAUCAGAUACCGUCGUAGUCUU
RNAcentral lists this ribosomal RNA (455 nucleotides) under uncultured Archaeospora. RNAcentral describes it as "SSU rRNA". It matches the Rfam family "Eukaryotic small subunit ribosomal RNA", at positions 569 to 1027 of the family's 1831-position model. Lineage: Eukaryota; Fungi; Glomeromycota; Glomeromycetes; Archaeosporales; Archaeosporaceae. The record is from RNAcentral.